CACGAACGGUAGGCCUUCGUUAGUAGU
This 27-nucleotide small RNA is filed under the name Bombyx mori (domestic silkworm). RNAcentral's name for it is "ovarian small RNA-13013". The record is from RNAcentral. Lineage: Eukaryota; Metazoa; Arthropoda; Insecta; Lepidoptera; Bombycidae.